RNAcentral lists this ribosomal RNA (484 nucleotides) under uncultured bacterium. RNAcentral's name for it is "partial 16S ribosomal RNA". It matches the Rfam family "Bacterial small subunit ribosomal RNA", at positions 30 to 507 of the family's 1533-position model. The record is from RNAcentral.
AUUGAACGCUGGCGGCAGGCCUAACACAUGCAAGUCGAGCGGAUGAAGGGAGCUUGCUCCUGGAUUCAGCGGCGGACGGGUGAGUAAUGCCUAGGAAUCUGCCUGGUAGUGGGGGAUAACGUCCGGAAACGGGCGCUAAUACCGCAUACGUCCUGAGGGAGAAAGUGGGGGAUCUCCGGACCUUACGCUAUCAGAUGAGCCUAGGUCGGAUUAGCUAGUUGGUGGGGUAAAGGCCUACCAAGGCGACGAUCCGUAACUGGUCUGAGAGGAUGAUCAGUCACACUGGAACUGAGACACGGUCCAGACUCCUACGGGAGGCAGCAGUGGGGAAUAUUGGACAAUGGGCGAAAGCCUGAUCCAGCCAUGCCGCGUGUGUGAAGAAGGUCUUCGGAUUGUAAAGCACUUUAAGUUGGGAGGAAGGGCAGUAAGUUAAUACCUUGCUGUUUUGACGUUACCAACAGAAUAAGCACCGGCUAACUUCGUG